This 466-nucleotide ribosomal RNA is filed under the name uncultured bacterium. Its description in RNAcentral is "partial 16S ribosomal RNA". It matches the Rfam family "Bacterial small subunit ribosomal RNA", at positions 28 to 505 of the family's 1533-position model. The record is from RNAcentral.
GACGAACGCUGGCGGCGUGCUUAACACAUGCAAGUCGAACGGAAAGGCCCUGCUUUUGUGGGGUGCUCGAGUGGCGAACGGGUGAGUAACACGUGAGUAACCUGCCCUUGACUUUGGGAUAACUUCAGGAAACUGGGGCUAAUACCGGAUAGGAGCUCCUGCUGCAUGGUGGGGGUUGGAAAGUUUCGGCGGUUGGGGAUGGACUCGCGGCUUAUCAGCUUGUUGGUGGGGUAGUGGCUUACCAAGGCUUUGACGGGUAGCCGGCCUGAGAGGGUGACCGGCCACAUUGGGACUGAGAUCCGGCCCAGACUCCUACGGGAGGCAGCAGUGGGGAAUAUUGCACAAUGGGCGGAAGCCUGAUGCAGCAACGCCGCGUGCGGGAUGACGGCCUUCGGGUUGUAAACCGCUUUCGCCUGUGACGAAGCGUGAAUGACGGUAAUGGUUAAAGAAGCACCGGCUAACUACG